GAUGAAGAACGUAGCAAAAUGCGAUACUUGGUGUGAAUUGCAGAAUCCCAUGAACCAUCGAGUUUUUGAACGCAAGUUGCGCCCGAAGCCUUUUGGCCGAGGGCACGUCUGCCUGGGCGUCACGCAUCGCGUCGCCCCCCACAAUUCUCCGUAAAAGGAACAUGUGUUUUGGGGGCGGAUAUUGGUCUCCCGUGCUCAUGGCGUGGUUGGCCGAAAUAGGAGUCCUUUCGAUGGACGCACGAACUAGUGGUGGUCGUAAAAACCCUCGUCUUUUGUUUCGUGCUGUUGCUCGCAAGGUAAACUCUUUAAAAACCCCAAUGUGUCGUCUCUUGACGACGCUUCGACCGCGACCCCAGGUCAGGCGGGACUACCCGCUGAGUUUAAGCAUAUCAAUAAGCGGAGA
This 403-nucleotide unclassified non-coding RNA is filed under the name soil metagenome. RNAcentral's name for it is "partial contains 5.8S ribosomal RNA, internal transcribed spacer 2, and large subunit ribosomal RNA". The stretch from base 1 to 122 matches the Rfam family "5.8S ribosomal RNA", at positions 35 to 154 of the family's 154-position model. The record is from RNAcentral.